This 484-nucleotide ribosomal RNA is filed under the name uncultured bacterium. RNAcentral's name for it is "partial 16S ribosomal RNA". It matches the Rfam family "Bacterial small subunit ribosomal RNA", at positions 29 to 523 of the family's 1533-position model. The record is from RNAcentral.
AGUGAACGCUGGCGGCGUGCUUAACACAUGCAAGUCGAACGAGAACGGAUUAUAGCUUGCUAUAAUUGUCAGCUAAGUGGCGCACGGGUGAGUAAUGUAUAGGUAAUAUGCCUCUUACUAAGGGAUCCCAGAUGGAAACGUUUGCUAAUACCUUAUACUCCUUAUUAACAGAAGUUAAUCAGGGAAAGAUUUAUUGGUAAGAGAUUAGCCUGUAUUGUAUCAGUUAGUUGGUGGGGUAAUGGCUUACCAAGACUAUGACACAUAACUGGUUUGGGAGGAUGGUCAGUCACACUGGAACUGAGACACGGUCCAGGCUCCUACGGGAGGCAGCAGUGGGGAAUAUUGCACAAUGGACGAAAGUCUGAUGCAGCAACGCCGCGUGGAGGAUGACACAUUUCGAUGCGUAAACUCCUUUUAUAUGAGAAGAUAAUGACGGUAUUAUAUGAAUAAGCGCCGGCUAACUCCGUGCCAGCCGCCGCAGUAA